This 492-nucleotide ribosomal RNA is filed under the name uncultured bacterium. RNAcentral describes it as "partial 16S ribosomal RNA". It matches the Rfam family "Bacterial small subunit ribosomal RNA", at positions 29 to 507 of the family's 1533-position model. The record is from RNAcentral.
AGUGAACGCUGGCGGUAGGCCUAACACAUGCAAGUCGAACGGCAGCACAGUAAGAGCUUGCUCUUACGGGUGGCGAGUGGCGGACGGGUGAGGAAUACAUCGGAAUCUACUUUUUCGUGGGGGAUAACGUAGGGAAACUUACGCUAAUACCGCAUACGACCUACGGGUGAAAGCAGGGGAUCUUCGGACCUUGCGCGAUUGAAUGAGCCGAUGUCGGAUUAGCUAGUUGGCGGGGUAAAGGCCCACCAAGGCGACGAUCCGUAGCUGGUCUGAGGGGAUGAUCAGCCACACUGGAACUGAGGCACGGUCCAGACUCCUACGGGAGGCAGCAGUGGGGAAUAUUGGACAAUGGGCGCAAGCCUGAUCCAGCCAUACCGCGUGGGUGAAGAAGGCCUUCGGGUUGUAAAGCCCUUUUGUUGGGAAAGAAAAGCAGCAGGUUAAUACCCCGCUGUUCUGACGGUACCCAAAGAAUAAGCACCGGCCAACUUCGUG